This 486-nucleotide ribosomal RNA is filed under the name uncultured bacterium. Its description in RNAcentral is "partial 16S ribosomal RNA". It matches the Rfam family "Bacterial small subunit ribosomal RNA", at positions 29 to 507 of the family's 1533-position model. The record is from RNAcentral.
AUUGAACGCUGGCGGCAUGCCUUACACAUGCAAGUCGAACGGCAGCACGGGGGGUAACCCCUGGUGGCGAGUGGCGAACGGGUGAGUAAUAUAUCGGAACGUGUCCUGUAGCGGGGGAUAACCUAUCGAAAGAUGGACUAAUACCGCAUACGACCUACGGGUGAAAGCGGAGGACCGCAAGGCUUCGCACUAUAGGAGCGGCCGAUAUCGGAUUAGCUAGUUGGCGGGGUAACGGCCCACCAAGGCGACGAUCCGUAGCUGGUCUGAGAGGACGAUCAGCCACACUGGAACUGAGACACGGUCCAGACUCCUACGGGAGGCAGCAGUGGGGAAUUUUGGACAAAGGGCGCAAGCCUGAUCCAGCCAUGCCGCGUGAGUGAAGAAGGCCUUCGGGUUGUAAAGCUCUUUCGGCGGGGACAAAACGGUUCGUGCUAAUACCACGGACUACUGACGGUACCCGCAGAAGAAGCACCGGCUAACUACGUG